GUAGUCUCGCACAGAUGCAUAUCAAUAAGCGGAGGAAAAGGUACCUACGCUUAGGAUGUUGAUGCAUAUCAAUAAGCGGAGGAAAAGAAACUAACAAGGAUUCCCUCAGUAACGGCGAGUGAAGCGGGAAGAGCUCAAAUUUGAAAUCUUGAAAGGUCACCUUUCACGAAUUGUAGUUUAAAGAAGUGUUUUCUGUUACGAUCGUAAUAUAAGUUCUUUGGAAUAGGACAUCACAGAGGGUGAGAAUCCCGUCUAUGAUUGCGAUUUGUAGCUUUGUGUUACACUUUCAAAGAGUCGGGUUGUUUGGGAAUGCAGCCCAAAACGGGAGGUAAAUUUCUUCUAAGGCUAAAUAUUGGCGAGAGACCGAUAGCGAACAAGUACCGUGAGGGAAAGAUGAAAAGAACUUUGAAAAGAGAGUUAAAUAGUACGUGAAAUUGUCAAAAGGGAAGCGUUUAACACCAGUGUUGUUUUCUGAAAAUCAACCUCUGUUAGCUUUAUGCAUGUUUGUUUAGACCUAAUCAGCUAUCUUGCAUGUUCUAUUGUUUGCAGUGGUGCACUUUUCAGUUUACAGGUCAACAUCAGUUUUUUUUACCGUAAAAAAGUUAAAGAAAAGGUAGCUCAUGGCUCCGGUCGUGAGUGUUAUAGUCUUUUUCCUAUGCGGUAGGAGAGACUGAGGUCUGCAGUGUAGGCUAUUUGGCUAGAUACUCAGGUGCUAUGUGAUACCAUUUCAUAAACAACUUGUUGAUUAUGUUUUGUCUAUUGCAUACUCGCUUGUACUAUCAUACCUACGCUUAGGAUGUUGAGUCGUAGAGCACGCAG
RNAcentral lists this ribosomal RNA (819 nucleotides) under uncultured Neocallimastigales. RNAcentral's name for it is "partial large subunit ribosomal RNA". It matches the Rfam family "Eukaryotic large subunit ribosomal RNA", at positions 1 to 628 of the family's 3401-position model. The record is from RNAcentral. Lineage: Eukaryota; Fungi; Neocallimastigomycota; Neocallimastigomycetes; Neocallimastigales.